AUUAGUGCAAUUCACGGUUAAUUCGGGGCAUUGAGUCUUUAUAAUUUAUUGGAAGAACAACUGAAAAUCGUUUUGUUUGCAAGUGUGACAUGUGUGGAGAAGAACCUCCUAACUAGCCUUUUAUCCAUCUAGUUCACCAAAAUCGUUUUUACAAUCUGUGCUAGUUAAAGUUUCUGUUUUGUGUUAAAUUUUCGUCCAAAACAAAUCCCCCUU
This 213-nucleotide long non-coding RNA is filed under the name Malus domestica (apple). RNAcentral describes it as "long non-coding RNA (MDOM_LNC019730)". The record is from RNAcentral. Lineage: Eukaryota; Viridiplantae; Streptophyta; Magnoliopsida; Rosales; Rosaceae.